CGGGGCCUGAUGGGAGCGGCGCCCAGGCAGCUACGCCCCUCCUUCGGCGGGCGGCGGCGGCGGCGGGAUGCACGGCCCGGUCCGCGGCAGCUGUGAAUUCUUGUAGAAGAUUGAUAGCUUUGCCAACAUUUGUCCACAAAAGAAGAUGGGUGGAUUACUUUCAAGAUGGAGGCAGGCAAAGCCUUCCACUGUAGAAGUAUUAGAGAAAAUUGAUAAGGAAAUACAGACAUUAGAAGAAUUUAGAGAAAAAAAUCAGAGGCUACAGAAACUAUGGGUUGGAAGGCUGCUUCUCUACUCUUCAGUUCUUUACCUUAUCACCUGCCUAAUUGUAUAUUUCUGGUGUCUUCCUGAUGAAUGGACAGAAAGGUUGAUUAUGACACUUCCAUUUUUUGCAUUUCCAUUGAUAAUCUGGUUUAUAAGAACACUGCUCAUUUUUUUCUUUUCCAAAAGGACAGAGAGGAAUAAUGAUGCACUGGAAGAUUUAAAAUCUCAAAAGAAGAAAAUACUUGAGGAAGUAAUGGAGAAGGAAACUUACAAGACUGCUAAAUUAAUCCUUGAAAGGUUUGAUCCGGGAUCAAGUGCAAAGGAGGCUGAACUGCCAUCUGCUGGAACAUCUGCAACCCCAAGACCUGGACAAGAAAUUCGUCAGAGGACCACAGCUCAAAGAAAUGCUUCUACACCCCUGCCUGUAACUUCCAAACAAGGCUCUCCAAAAACACUGGUUCCAGCAUCUCCUGUUCUGCAAAGAGACACGUCAGCUCUGAGCGGACCCCCAGAAAGAACUGCUGUACCAUCCUUGCAGUCAAAUGUUUUACCAAGACGCCCUGGAUCCCCUGCUACUCCAGUGCCUGGAAUGGGUCUCCAUCCUCCAGGCCCUCCUUUAGCAAGGCCUAUUCUUCCGCGAGAAAGAGGAGUUGUGGAUAGAGUUAUUGAAUAUUUGGUUGGUGAUGGUCCUCAGAACAGGUAUGCCCUUAUAUGUCAACAAUGUUUUUCGCACAAUGGUAUGGCUUUGAAGGAGGAGUUUGAAUACAUAGCAUUUAGGUGUGCCUACUGCUUUUUCCUGAAUCCUGCAAGAAAAACUAGACCUCAGGCUCCACGACUUCCAGACUUCAGUUUUGAAAAAAAGCAAUCUACAGAACUGCCAUCUGAAACUCAGCCUAGAGAGAUAAAGCCCCAGGAGACUCAACAGACAGAAGAAUCUGAAGAAGACAUGGCCCAGAUCAUCGAGACAAAUGAGACAGAUGGUAAAGCUGCAAGUUCUGAACAGCUAAAUGAUAAGCUAGAUGAAGAAGAAGAAAAAGAGGAAACAGAAAACAUUUCAACAACUGAAGACUCUAUUUCGGAACCUAUAUCAACUGAACAAAGUAAAGAAUCUUUAAUGAAAGCAGAAUAAAAUACUCCCAAGUGCCUUCUGUAGCUAGUUUUUAGCUUUGUUCAUGCCUGUUAUUACUAUUCAGUAACAGAAAAUUCUUGACUCUCUGUGGUGGUAUUUGAUGUCUGGGAGGAAAAGCAGAUGAAAUACAUUAGAUCAUCGCAUAAAUUACUCCUAAUCACGCUCUUGGCUAUACAAACUAUUUUGCAAAGCCACAAGGAAGGUGCUGCCUGGGAAACUGUGUGAACAAGAAACACGACAGAAACACGUUGCUUUCAACCUGUACCGUGUAAGGGCACUUGGGCCCUUAACUCCUUCAAAAUAAUAAAAAAACCCCAACAGUCAAACUUUUUUGUAUACUUUCAUUAAAUUUUAAAUGUUAAUAGUACUAACUUAUUUUGGACACCCCCCCCCCCCCCCUACUUCUGUGCAGUGUUUUCCAUUAAAAAGUGUAAAUAGUGUGUAUGUGGGUAUCUUGAAUCUAUGCUGCAGACUUCGCAGAUGCAGAUGGUUACAACAGCUUGGUGUGGAAGUUUGUUUUUCCACUGAGGUUUCGUGUUUGUAGGAAGUUCCUUACAGUGAAAGGAUGCCCUUGUGCAGGUGGGUGACUCCAUUGCAGAGAAGUGCAUUUGUUACUUGGCUGCAAGUAAUGAGCAAAACAAUGGCAAGUGCCAUGUCAUUGCGUGUCAAUAUUUGAUGAUUGUUUGCUCAUGCUGAAUUUAUUACUUCUGGUAACAACUUAGGCAUCUUUAGUUCUCUGUAUUGUAUAUUAUUAACCAUUUUUUAAAGAACUGACAACACUGGUGUUCCCCAGCAGUAGAAUCCCUUUUAUAAUACUUGGAAAUAUUUCCUUUUUCUCAUAUUUUACAGAAGGGAGUGAAGGUAAUUUUUUCCCCACCAUUCCUGCUGCCGCAAUGUGACUAGAAGUACUUAUUUUUCAAAAAUGCUAGGGUUUUUUAUUGUUUCAGCUAUUUGACCAUGUCAGUGUGUUGCUGGGGCUUUUUUAAAGAGAGAGUGAAUGACAGCCUGGUUGCGGAAUGCAUUUUCUUUAUAAGGCUUAUCUUAAAACUUACUGGUUUGCAGUGGUGAAAUCCCCUUGGGAGGAGUUUGUUGGAUUAUUGAACAAAUGGUGGGCAGCUGACGUGUAAUGGAAAGUACUCGACUAAGAUUGUGUGCAACUUAUUGUGAAUACUCCUGAUACAUUAUAAUAAGGCGUUAUGUUCAUCUAAUUCAUGAAUUCUGAUCUAUUUGAUUUUAGAAUCUCAGACUGUGUUACAAGUGUAAUGAUUCUGAGAGCUGGAAUAUUGUUAGCCAUUGUGAACAGUACUGCAGGAGUCUCUGGAUGUAUAAUGUGAUAGAUGCAAUUUUGUUUGAAUUUUUUUUCCAAGGCCAAUUUAAUUUUGAUUUAUUUGCCUCAUUAACCCAAGGAUUCAGAAAAUUGAAUGCCACCUGAGUGAGGUAUUAUUAACACUAGUGAAAUAUCUUCAGAAUUGCUCCGUGCUUAUAAAUUGGUCUUUUGAAAGCAUUUUAAAGGCAUAAUGAUACUGUAGUGAAAAUGUACAGCAUCGUUUAAAAAUUGCAAAAUGCUUAUUUGAUUUCUGAAAUAAGACUGGGUCACCUGACUUAAAUAUAUACUGAUCUAUUAUUUAUGCUUUGAAAAUAGAGCUGAUAAAAAGCAUAAGUGUUCUUGAUAUUAUAUUUUGUCAUAUCUAGCUAAAAAGAUUGAAAUCCAGAGAAACAAUUUUCUGAAGAAAUGAAAUAGUAUGCCCUCCUGAACCCCUGGGGAAAAUAGCCUCUCUGUUCGCUGAGAAUAUGAAGCAGUAAAACAGUAUAAGUAAAACAGACAGCUCAUGUCACAUUCCUAUUUGUACAGUCUGGAAUGAUGUUUUAAAAAUAUUUUCUAGUUAUUUUUGAUAAAUAAAUGGUGCAAAUAACAUCUGCAAACCAACCCUGCUGAUGUAAGAUUUUUCAGAUCAGAUUUGUUUGUCAGUGAAAGUUCAGAAAAUUGCUUUGCAAAACUAAAGUUGUAUAACUCCCAAAAAUAUGCAUAACAGAUGUACAAGAAUGUAUCUUGCUCUCCUUUUGCCUUCCCUCAAAGAAACCAAUGCUGAUUCUCCAUUAUCUUUGCUUCUGAGCUCAGAAGGUAGCUGGACAAAAUUAUCAAAUAUCAAAAAGCUGAGCUGCUAAACACAGAUGUGUUUAUAAGGUGUUAAAUAGCUGAGCACUUGACAUGGGUAGCAGGGUGCCCAGCUACCCUUUACGAACAGUGUAUCCUGGCUAAAGCCUUGAGAUUUUCCCCCUGAGCCAUUCAUUAGUGCCCCACUGAAAACCAAGCUUAUGGUUAUAAGGGCCUUCCACAGGUGGUGCACAUUUGGUCAGGGGGUAUAAAGGAUGUGAGUGUGUUGCCUGCCUGUUGCUUUCUGCAGGUUCUUCCAAAGGCUGGCACGCUUGAGGAUGAGGAGAAGUUUCUCAGAGUCCUUUGGCUUUCAGAAGCGCACCCUUCAGCGCAAGGAUGCUGAUGCCACUCUAAUUUCCUUCACUGAUGCAAAAGCUGAGAUGGAAAAAAAAUCCCUGGGCAGCAGGGUUGAAAAAUCCAAUGUCAUGGCUCUACAAACGCCCCGUUGCCCAAGACUGGCCAAGGAAGUGUGUGUCUGUACCUCUCCGAAAACAUCACUUGUUGAGGGAGUGGGCUUUGGGCUACAUUUGGGGGCUGUAUGCCUUCAAGGCCGCCUUGUUAUGCUUUGGACUUCUGUUCUCUACAGAGUUGGUUAAAGCCAGCUUUAAUGAUAUUUUUGUAAAGAUUCUCGGUCAGUGGACUCUUAUCUCAGGCUAAAUUCUGUGAUACAUCCACAGAAUACAAAAUGCGUGUAUUUUGUAAACAUGUAUGUAUUUAAUAAGGACCAAAAUAAACUUUUGUUUUUAUUUUACAGCA
RNA transcript from Falco peregrinus (peregrine falcon), 4304 nucleotides. It is a transcript of the gene named lunapark, ER junction formation factor, with no coding region annotated. The record is from RefSeq and is a predicted model, not a curated record. The transcript is spliced from 14 exons. Lineage: Eukaryota; Metazoa; Chordata; Aves; Falconiformes; Falconidae.